Molecule: transfer-messenger RNA, 244 nt
Filed under: Gallionellales bacterium RIFOXYB12_FULL_54_9
Lineage: Bacteria; Pseudomonadati; Pseudomonadota; Betaproteobacteria; Nitrosomonadales
Description: partial transfer-messenger RNA
Rfam family: transfer-messenger RNA
About the family: Bacterial tmRNA, also known as 10Sa RNA or SsrA, is named for its dual tRNA and mRNA-like properties. Its role is to liberate the mRNA from a stalled ribosome.
Source: RNAcentral
CUCACACCAUGACACCAUGCUGUCUGUGGAGUGGCUCGAAGUCGCAAGAUGGAGAUGAGUGAGGUAACAAACACAGAAUCGUGUCGUGCAGGGUUACUUUGUACGAAGCUAAACUCAAGGUAACUAGUCCCGUACCAGCCCGCCAGUUGGCGUGUCCGGGAUUAAAUUAAAUAGCAUGGCUAAGUAUGUAGAACUGCCUGUAGAGUGCUUGCGGACGGGGGUUCAAUUCCCCCCGCCUCCACCA